UCUCAUCCUGGGCCCACAAAGCCUUUCUGUCCAAACUGGUUUACACAUUCCUGUGAAACGUUUUGUUUUUUCCAAAACAACAUUUUGUGUUGAAAAACCAUUUCAUUGGAAAAUUACUAACCAGCUCUAGUUUCACACCCUGUGGUCUGUCAUCUUUGAUCUGUUUAAUGAAAUGUGGGUUCCAAUAGCACUUGCUGCUGGCCUUUUUUAAUCUCUUAAGCUCCCUCCUGCUCUCUUCUAGAUUCCUCUCCGACUCGACUCAUCUGCAGCUAUUUUUCUCUCCUUAGGGAGAACCCUGAUCCUGUUUCAGUCUCUCACAAAGACUGCCUGCUGCUUUGCUGGCUUUUCUCUCUCUUUCUCUCUGCUCUUUUCACUAGAAGUGCCUGUAAUUGAAAAGUAAUGGGGGAAAAUCAUCCAAACCUAUUUUCAAACUCAAAUCAAAUUUAGCUGGAAUUUUAGUACAGGUUUUGGUCGUCGUGCCUUAUUAUAUCCAGAUCUAUCCACUGAGCUUAUCCUCUGAUAGCUACUUGCAGUACCAAAUGCAAACAGGUUUAAGUCAAUGUCUGCCAUCAAAGUCAAUGGAGUUAUUUAUGCUCACUUAUGCUGGGUCUGUAUUUCUCUCUUAAUUUUUUAUUCUGCCCAUCAAAUGAGCUAAAUCCUCCUGCUUUUCAAAUUAGUAAAAAAGUAGGAUUUUUUUUUCCUUUCACAACAUCAUUACCAAAAAUAACCAGAUGCCUUUAUGCUAUGCUUUGACCAGUGUUGUUGAACUGUCAGAGAUAACUGCUGGAUAUGGUAUUUAAUACCAAAAUGAGAUAAUGGCACAUUAAUGAUAUUUUCAAUAUCUUCACCUCCAAAAUCCCACUGGGACAAGAAAUAGAGAUGCCAGAAUAUCACAAGGAAUAUCACAGAGUAAUCCUGCUCCAGUUGGACAUGGGAGCUACUGGCAAGCACAGGAAUAAUCAGCCCAGCUUUGGUCACAAAAAGCUCAGACACAGGAAUUGAGGUAGAUGUCUUCUACUUGGAUUUUAAGAAGGCGUUCAAUAUGGUAUCUCAUUCUAUUCUGACAGAUAAACUGAGUGGCUGUGAUAUA
This is a long non-coding RNA of Gavialis gangeticus (Gharial), 1090 nucleotides long. RefSeq lists it as uncharacterized. The transcript is spliced from 3 exons. The record is from RefSeq and is a predicted model, not a curated record. NCBI's taxonomy places the organism in Eukaryota, Metazoa, Chordata, Crocodylia, Gavialidae.